This 433-nucleotide ribosomal RNA is filed under the name uncultured bacterium. RNAcentral describes it as "partial 16S ribosomal RNA". It matches the Rfam family "Bacterial small subunit ribosomal RNA", at positions 29 to 507 of the family's 1533-position model. The record is from RNAcentral.
AACGAACGCUGGCGGCAUGCCUAACACAUGCAAGUCGAACGAGACCUUCGUGUCUAGUGGCGCACGGGUGCGUAACGCGUGGGAACCUGCCCUUAGGUUCGGAAUAACUCCCCGAAAGGGGUGCUAAUACCGGAUAAUGUCUUCGGACCAAAGAUUUAUCGCCUUUGGAUGGGCCCGCGUUGGAUUAGCUAGUUGGUAGGGUAAAAGCCUACCAAGGCGACGAUCCAUAGCUGGUCUGAGAGGAUGAUCAGCCACACUGGGACUGAGACACGGCCCAGACUCCUACGGGAGGCAGCAGUGGGGAAUAUUGGAAAAUGGGCGAAAGCAUGAUCCAGCAAUGCCGCGUGAGUGAUGAAGGCCUUAGGGUUGUAAAGCUCUUUUACCCGGGAUGAUAAUGACAGUACCGGGAGAAUAAGCUCCGGCUAACUCCGUG